Raphanus sativus (radish) is the source of this 2411-nucleotide long non-coding RNA. RefSeq lists it as uncharacterized. The transcript has 3 exons. NCBI's taxonomy places the organism in Eukaryota, Viridiplantae, Streptophyta, Magnoliopsida, Brassicales, Brassicaceae. The record is from RefSeq and is a predicted model, not a curated record.
UUAGGGUUUAGUGUUUUGGGUUUAUGAUUUAGAAUAUAGGAUUUAUAUUUAGAGUAUAGGGGCAGAAGAUUGUAGAUAGACACCAAUUUGACAAACAAAGGUUUCAAUAUUCUAUGUGGGUGAUGAAGAAGAAACCAUGGAUGGCGUUAACAAAAAUUAGUCGACAUCUUUUUCACUUCUUUCUUUUUUUUUUCUUUUCAAUUUUGUUUCUUUUUUAUACUAAUCCUAUAUGGGAUUUUGAUUGAUGCUAAAAUUUGAGGUGAAUUUGAGAGUUCACCAGAGGGGUGAACACAAGUUUGUUUCAAUAUAUUUGAUAAAAAGUAUUACUCAAAUCUCCUAUUUUUAUGUCUAGCUCAUGAAGAAAAGAUAUAAAUUGUAAAAAAGAUUGUCUGUCAAAAAUAUUAGAAGAGUUUAGCAAAAAAAUAUUAUAAGAUUAAAUUUAAAACAUAUUAAAUUUAGUAUAUCUACGUAAUAAAAAUCCAAGUGAUUUAGAAGUCGGUGCUAAGAUCUCAAAUUGAAAAUUUUGAUAAAACUAACAAAUAAUAUAUUUAUAAAAGAUUUGAUCUAAUUAAAUAUUAUCAAUUGAUUUAGGUUGAAAGCGCACAAUAUUUUAAUAAACAAAAAUAUCUAUUACAUGUCGUAAAUUUGAUUCGAGAUGGAUCAAUGAGAUGGUUUAACAUCAAAAGUUGACUAAUAUUUUAUAUACAGAGGAUUCAUUAAUCAAUAGUAAGAUUUAAGUUAGAAAUCUAAAAAAAAAAUUUACAAAAAACUUUUUUAAAAAGACGAUUUACAAAAAAGUAACUUUGAAGUAAUAAAGAUUGGAAAGUUGAAACCAAAUCUUGCGACAUGCUAAAUAAAUCUAUCUAUUUAUAUAAAAGAGAGUUUACUCUCUCCAGGUUGAGCCACGUCGUCAUCCAGCCUAGAAAUUCGUUUGUUCUCGUGUCGACACAUGUCAUGUACUAAUGAAACUCAGCGUUUCAUUUAAAUGCAUGACAUGAUGGGCUUUCUUCGUUAAUAUCCUGUUGGGCUCUACGUUUGAUCGAUCUCUCUGGCCCGAGACAAUGUGACUCGCCAUCUAACCAUAAUUUCACGAACGACGAUUUGCUCUGCAUUCCUCCCUUUCCUUCGACGGCGACGCAUGACGCUUGAGUUCCCUUCACAUGUAUGAAACAGUAGCUUCACUCAAUCAUCGUGACUCUUGGGAUCUUGAAUCCUCCGACUAUCGCCUCUGUAACGUCUUAAGAUCUCGGCUAGGAGAUACAUUUAUCCAAGCAUUAACGACACCAUUCUUCCCACUCUUCCUCAUUAACUCGACCUUAUCAUCCCACCAAGGUAAACGUUCAUUGCAACGACUAUAAAUAUGUUCAAAGAUGUAUUUAAACACGUCGUCGGCAUAUAUCCGUUGUUUCCUUCUCUCUCUCCCCGACUUAAUAACUGUUCUCACAGACAAAAGAUCAGUGGAAUCUCAUCUUUAUUGUUACCGUCACUCGAUACCAGGAAUCCUUAAUAGUAAGAAUGUUUCUCAUCAUAGCCAUGAGACCGUUUAGUGUCUUUGAAUUAUGCUUCUAUUUGGAUCAUGUCUUGGCAGAAUGAUAAUCUUACCAACUCUGGCUUUGUUAUUAUGUUUAAUCGUAUUUUUAUUAGAUCUAUGAAAUUUGGUUCAGACAUGUUGUUUUUUCUUGAGUUCACAAAUGAUUUUUGAUUAUAUAAAAUAAUAGUUGUUGGAUUUUAGAGAAUUAUCGAAUUGUUCCUCUGUUUUUACAUGCUUCUAUUGCAAGGACUAUUUGUUCAAGCUUUUGCUAAUUGGUGAUUCUGGUGUUGAUAGAUCUGCUUGCUUCUUAUGUUUGCUGAUAAGAUGAGUAGUUAUACCGGUCGCUACAGCUGGUAUCGCGGCAUUGCUUCCCUACAGGCAGAAAUCGUGGAAGAUUGAGAGAAAAAAGUGUGUGCGUGAGAUGCACGACCUUCUGCGCUCUUGAUCAGAUCUCCAAUACAGUCGUUUCUCAUAUUUCCAAAGCCGUCGUAUAAAUAUUUGAAAUGUAAAUAUUAGGGGUCACCGGAGCGUUCACGACUCUUGAUUCGGUAGCAAAGUUUGAAGAGGUUGGCCAUUGGUAGAUUUACUUGCAUCACAUCACCUGAGUUGGCGUCCAAGUCAAAUGUCCUUCACUAUAACUGAUUAGAGUUUGAAGAAGCAUUUGAAAGACAUGGUGAAGCGUGGAAAUAAUCUGAGAGUGUACAUAAAUUUUUCUUCAACGAAUGUUUUACAUUUAACCAGGCGUCUGUUUAUAUAUUCUUUUAUUUUAAUCCAUUGUAAACAUACAACAAAGCAUGUAAAAGAAUGUGAAGAAUGUUUCAAGAGGUUAUGGUUUUGUAGAAUUGUGACUGUGUUUCUUUGAAACUUCGAGUUGAUUGGA